Molecule: long non-coding RNA, 374 nt
Filed under: Ananas comosus (pineapple)
Lineage: Eukaryota; Viridiplantae; Streptophyta; Magnoliopsida; Poales; Bromeliaceae
Description: long non-coding RNA (ACOM_LNC006407)
Source: RNAcentral
AAAAAGAAAAAGAGAAAGAGAAACAUCUUUAUUAAUAGCUCUGUAAGGACCUAGCUAUUUAGGUCCCGUUUGGCCUAGCUUUUGAAAAAGUGAUUUCUGAAAAAGUGAUUUUGAUUUGGAAAAGUGAUUUUGGUUAAAAGCUGUAGAGUGUUUGGCUGAGUUUAGAUAAAAGUGAUUUUUCUGAAGUGAUUUUGAAAAACUGUUUGGUAAAAUUUUUUUGAUGCUUGCAUAAAUCAAUAUUUUUAUUAAAUUUUAUUUCAAAAUAAUUUAAAAUCUAAAUUUAAAUUUCACUUAAAAUUAAAAUUCUUAAAUUUCAAAAUUAUACAAAAUUUAAAAUUUGAUAUUUUAAUUUAAAACAUAAUUUAAAAUUUAAA